RNAcentral lists this transfer RNA (73 nucleotides) under Marmota monax (woodchuck). Its description in RNAcentral is "tRNA.Ala". The stretch from base 7 to 67 matches the Rfam family "tRNA", at positions 6 to 65 of the family's 71-position model. From Rfam's summary of the family: Transfer RNA (tRNA) molecules are approximately 80 nucleotides in length. Their secondary structure includes four short double-helical elements and three loops (D, anti-codon, and T loops). Further hydrogen bonds mediate the characteristic L-shaped molecular structure. tRNAs have two regions of fundamental functional importance: the anti-codon, which is responsible for specific mRNA codon recognition, and the 3' end, to which the tRNAs corresponding amino acid is attached (by aminoacyl-tRNA synthetases). tRNAs cope with the degeneracy of the genetic code in two manners: having more than one tRNA (with a specific anti-codon) for a particular amino acid; and 'wobble' base-pairing, i.e. permitting non-standard base-pairing at the 3rd anti-codon position. Lineage: Eukaryota; Metazoa; Chordata; Mammalia; Rodentia; Sciuridae. The record is from RNAcentral.
UGAAGAUGUGGCUCAGUGGUAGAGCACUUGCCUAGCAUGCAUGGGACCCUGGGCUCUAGACUCAGCACUGCAA